Molecule: ribosomal RNA, 478 nt
Filed under: uncultured bacterium
Lineage: Bacteria
Description: SSU rRNA
Rfam family: Bacterial small subunit ribosomal RNA
Source: RNAcentral
AGGAUGAACGCUGGCGGCGUGCCUAACACAUGCAAGUCGAACGUCCUGUCUCGCAAGAGGCAGGGAGUGGCGGACGGGUGAGUACCACGUGGGUCAUCUACCGUGAGGUGAGGAAUACCGGCGAGAAAUCGCCGACAAGACCGCAUAGGCUCGAUGCAAGUCGAGCAAAGCUCUUUCGAGAGAGGGAGCGCCACACGAGGAGCCUGCGCCCGAUUAGCUAGCUGGUGGAGUAACGGUUCACCAGGGCGACGAUCGGUAGCUGGUCUGAGAGGACGAUCAGCCACACUGGGAUUGAGAACGGCCCAGACUCCUACGGGGGGCAGCAGUGAGGAAUUUUCGUCAAUGGGGGCAACCCUGAACGAGCAACGCCGCGUGCAGGAAGAAGGUUUUCGGAUCGUAAACUGCUUUUCUCGGGGAAGAGGAACGGACGGUACCCGAGGAAUCAGCCCCGGCUAACGUACGUGCCAGCAGCCGCGGU